AAUUUUCGACAAUGGGGGCAACCCUGAUCCAGCCAUCCCGCGUGUGCGAUGAAGGAAUUAGAGAUGUAUCGCACUCUUGGCAGGGAAGAAAAGGCUCUGGCUAAUACCUGGAGCUGCUGACGGUACAUGCAGAAUACGCACCGGCUAACUACGUGCCAGCAGCCGCGGUAAUACGUAGGGUGGAAGCGUUAAUCGGAAUUACUGGGCGUAAAUCGUGCGCAGGCGGUUCGGCAAGAAGGAUGUGAAAACCCAGGGCUUAACCUUGGAACUGCAUUCUUAACUGCCGGGCUAGAGUAUGUCAGAGGGGGGUAGAAUUCCGCGUGUAGCAGUGAAAUGCGUAGAGAUGCGGAGGAAUACCGAUGGCGAAGGCAGCCCCCUGGGAUAAUACUGACGCUCAUGCACGAAAGCGUGGGGAGCAAAC
This 421-nucleotide ribosomal RNA is filed under the name uncultured bacterium. RNAcentral's name for it is "partial 16S ribosomal RNA". It matches the Rfam family "Bacterial small subunit ribosomal RNA", at positions 360 to 773 of the family's 1533-position model. The record is from RNAcentral.